CCUACGGGUGGCAGCAGUGGGGGAUAUUGCACAAUGGGGGAAACCCUGAUGCAGCGACGCCGCGUGUGGGAAGACGGUCUUCUGGAUUGUAAACCACUGUCCCCAGGGACGAAAAUGACGGUACCUGGGGAGGAAGCUCCGGCUAACUACGUGCCAGCAGCCGCGGUAAUACGUAGGGAGCAAGCGUUGUCCGGAAUUACUGGGUGUAAAGGGAGCGUAGGCGGGGAUGCAAGUUGGGUGUCAAAACUACCGGCUCAACCGAUAGUCGCACUCAAAACUGCAGCUCUUGAGUGAAGUAGAGGCAGGAGGAAUGCCUAGUGGAGCGGUGAAAUGCUUAGAUAUCACGAAGAACCCCGAUUGCGAAGGCAGCUUACUAAACUGUGACUGACAUUGAUGCUCGAAAGUGUGGGUAUCAAACAGGAUUAGAUACCCCGGUAGUC
This 440-nucleotide ribosomal RNA is filed under the name uncultured bacterium. RNAcentral describes it as "partial 16S ribosomal RNA". It matches the Rfam family "Bacterial small subunit ribosomal RNA", at positions 338 to 795 of the family's 1533-position model. The record is from RNAcentral.